Molecule: ribosomal RNA, 95 nt
Filed under: uncultured fungus
Lineage: Eukaryota; Fungi
Description: partial 18S ribosomal RNA
Source: RNAcentral
GAAAAAAAAAGUCGUAUCAAUGCCUCCGUAGGUGAACUUUUGAAAGUAAAAAGUAGUAACAAGGUUUCCGUAGGUGAACCUGCGGAAGGAUCAUU